Molecule: ribosomal RNA, 464 nt
Filed under: uncultured bacterium
Lineage: Bacteria
Description: partial 16S ribosomal RNA
Rfam family: Bacterial small subunit ribosomal RNA
Source: RNAcentral
AUGAACGCUGGCGGCGUGCUUAACACAUGCAAGUCGAACGGAAAGGCACAAGCUUGCUUGGGUACUCGAGUGGCGAACGGGUGAGUAACACGUGGGUGAUCUGCCCUGCACUUCGGGAUAAGCCUGGGAAACUGGGUCUAAUACCGGAUAGGACCACAUUUUGGAUGGUGUGGUGGAAAGUUUUUCGGUGUGGGAUGAGCUCGCGGCCUAUCAGCUUGUUGGUGGGGUAAUGGCCUACCAAGGCGUCGACGGGUAGCCGGCCUGAGAGGGUGUACGGCCACAUUGGGACUGAGAUACGGCCCAGACUCCUACGGGAGGCAGCAGUGGGGAAUAUUGCACAAUGGGCGCAAGCCUGAUGCAGCGACGCCGCGUGGGGGAUGACGGCCUUCGGGUUGUAAACUCCUUUCGCUAGGGACGAAGCGCAAGUGACGGUACCUGGAGAAGAAGCACCGGCUAACUACGUG